UCCAGAGUGAAGGGUAGACCAGGGGUUUCUCCAGAGUGAAGGGUAGGACAGGGUUAUCUCCAGAGUGAAGGGUAGGCCAGGGUUAUCUUCAGAGUGAAGGGUAGGACAGGGUUUCUCCAGAGUGAAGGGUAGGCCAGGGUUUACUCCAGAGUGAAGGGUAGGCCAGGGUUAUCUCCAGAGUGAAGGGUAGGACAGGGUUUACUCCAGAGUGAAGGGUAGGACAGGGUUUACUCCAGAGUGAAGGGUAGGACAGGGUUAUCUCCAGUGUGAAGGGUAGGCCAGGGUUAUCUCCAGUGUGAAGGGUAGGCCAGGGUUAUCUCCAGUGUGAAGG
This is a long non-coding RNA of Oncorhynchus tshawytscha (Chinook salmon), 331 nucleotides long. The record is from Ensembl. NCBI's taxonomy places the organism in Eukaryota, Metazoa, Chordata, Actinopteri, Salmoniformes, Salmonidae.